RNAcentral lists this ribosomal RNA (1418 nucleotides) under Lactiplantibacillus plantarum. Its description in RNAcentral is "bacterial SSU rRNA". It matches the Rfam family "Bacterial small subunit ribosomal RNA". The record is from RNAcentral. Lineage: Bacteria; Bacillati; Bacillota; Bacilli; Lactobacillales; Lactobacillaceae.
GUCGAACGAACUCUGGUAUUGAUUGGUGCUUGCAUCAUGAUUUACAUUUGAGUGAGUGGCGAACUGGUGAGUAACACGUGGGAAACCUGCCCAGAAGCGGGGGAUAACACCUGGAAACAGAUGCUAAUACCGCAUAACAACUUGGACCGCAUGGUCCGAGCUUGAAAGAUGGCUUCGGCUAUCACUUUUGGAUGGUCCCGCGGCGUAUUAGCUAGAUGGUGGGGUAACGGCUCACCAUGGCAAUGAUACGUAGCCGACCUGAGAGGGUAAUCGGCCACAUUGGGACUGAGACACGGCCCAAACUCCUACGGGAGGCAGCAGUAGGGAAUCUUCCACAAUGGACGAAAGUCUGAUGGAGCAACGCCGCGUGAGUGAAGAAGGGUUUCGGCUCGUAAAACUCUGUUGUUAAAGAAGAACAUAUCUGAGAGUAACUGUUCAGGUAUUGACGGUAUUUAACCAGAAAGCCACGGCUAACUACGUGCCAGCAGCCGCGGUAAUACGUAGGUGGCAAGCGUUGUCCGGAUUUAUUGGGCGUAAAGCGAGCGCAGGCGGUUUUUUAAGUCUGAUGUGAAAGCCUUCGGCUCAACCGAAGAAGUGCAUCGGAAACUGGGAAACUUGAGUGCAGAAGAGGACAGUGGAACUCCAUGUGUAGCGGUGAAAUGCGUAGAUAUAUGGAAGAACACCAGUGGCGAAGGCGGCUGUCUGGUCUGUAACUGACGCUGAGGCUCGAAAGUAUGGGUAGCAAACAGGAUUAGAUACCCUGGUAGUCCAUACCGUAAACGAUGAAUGCUAAGUGUUGGAGGGUUUCCGCCCUUCAGUGCUGCAGCUAACGCAUUAAGCAUUCCGCCUGGGGAGUACGGCCGCAAGGCUGAAACUCAAAGGAAUUGACGGGGGCCCGCACAAGCGGUGGAGCAUGUGGUUUAAUUCGAAGCUACGCGAAGAACCUUACCAGGUCUUGACAUACUAUGCAAAUCUAAGAGAUUAGACGUUCCCUUCGGGGACAUGGAUACAGGUGGUGCAUGGUUGUCGUCAGCUCGUGUCGUGAGAUGUUGGGUUAAGUCCCGCAACGAGCGCAACCCUUAUUAUCAGUUGCCAGCAUUAAGUUGGGCACUCUGGUGAGACUGCCGGUGACAAACCGGAGGAAGGUGGGGAUGACGUCAAAUCAUCAUGCCCCUUAUGACCUGGGCUACACACGUGCUACAAUGGAUGGUACAACGAGUUGCGAACUCGCGAGAGUAAGCUAAUCUCUUAAAGCCAUUCUCAGUUCGGAUUGUAGGCUGCAACUCGCCUACAUGAAGUCGGAAUCGCUAGUAAUCGCGGAUCAGCAUGCCGCGGUGAAUACGUUCCCGGGCCUUGUACACACCGCCCGUCACACCAUGAGAGUUUGUAACACCCAAAGUCGGUGGGGUAACCUUUUA